AGUCGCUCCGAGCAGCGUUGCACUGCUGCUGCGGGGGCUUUUAAACGGCUGGGGGACGGUGCAGGGCUAGGGUUGGAAGGGGACGUUUGCUGGUUCAGCGGGAGGCGAGCGAGUUGGAUGCCACGAGGCGCUGAGGGGCAGCUGUGAGCCGAACCGGUCCGUUUCCGUUCCCGGGUGACGGGCGUAUAUUCGCUGUUAGCCGGAGGACUAAUCACCAUAGAGAGCGGCGGAUGAGCUGCGCAGAGCGGUUAGAUCGGCACUUCCGCAUUUCUGGGCGCAUGUGUUUUGCCGCUGGCGCGACUCGGCGGCAGGCAGCGGCAGUUCCGCGCGUUGGCCACGCGGUGGCAGCAGAGACCACGGCAAGAACUUUCCUGCCGGAUCGAUGCCGGGAUUCGGCGGGGAACUUUGAGAUCACAGCCUGAAGCAGUGAUGGAGCAACCUGGUGAGGGGUGCAGCCCUGCCUGCACAGGUGGAAGCAAUGCAGCC
This is a long non-coding RNA of Tympanuchus pallidicinctus (lesser prairie-chicken), 486 nucleotides long. RefSeq lists it as uncharacterized. The record is from RefSeq and is a predicted model, not a curated record. Lineage: Eukaryota; Metazoa; Chordata; Aves; Galliformes; Phasianidae. The transcript has 3 exons.